GAGUUUGAUCAUGGCUCAGAGCGAACGCUGGCGGCAGGCCUAACACAUGCAAGUCGAGCGGAUGUAGCAAUACAUCAGCGGCAGACGGGAGAGUAACACGUGGGAACGUGCCCUUUGGUUCGGAAUAACUCGGCGAAAGCCGUGCUAAUACCGGAUAAGCCCUUACGGGGAAAGAUUUAUCGCCAUUGGAGCGGCCCGCGUCUGAUUAGCUAGUUGGUGAGGUAAUGGCUCACCAAGGCGACGAUCAGUAGCUGGUCUGAGAGGAUGAUCAGCCUCACUGGGACUGAGACACGGCCCAGACUCCUACGGGAGGCAGCAGUGGGGAAUAUUGGACAAUGGGCGCAAGCCUGAUCCAGCCAUGCCGCGUGGAUGAUGAAGGCCUUAGGGUUGUAAAGUCCUUUUAACGGGGAAGAUAAUGACGGUACCCGUAGAAUAAGCCCCGGCUAACUUCGUGCUAGCAGCCGCCGCCGUAAC
RNAcentral lists this ribosomal RNA (474 nucleotides) under uncultured Alphaproteobacteria bacterium. Its description in RNAcentral is "bacterial SSU rRNA". It matches the Rfam family "Bacterial small subunit ribosomal RNA", at positions 9 to 524 of the family's 1533-position model. Lineage: Bacteria; Pseudomonadati; Pseudomonadota; Alphaproteobacteria. The record is from RNAcentral.